ACUCAAAUGAAUAGACGGGGACCCGCACAAGCGGUGGAGCAUGUGGUUUAAUUCGAGGCUACGCGAAGAACCUUACCCAGGCUUGACAUGGUUAAGACAGCCGAUGAAAGUCGGUUUCUCCGCAAGGAGCUUUUCCACAGGUGCUGCAUGGCUGUCGUCAGCUCGUGCUGUGAAGUGUUGGGUUAAGUCCCGCAACGAGCGCAACCUUUAUCGUUAGUUGCCAUCAGGUAAUGCUGGGCACUCUAGCGAGACUGCCGGCGAUUAGCUGGAGGAAGGAGGAGAUGACGUCAAGUCAGUAUGGCCCUUAUGCCUGGGGCUACACACGUGCUACAAUGGCCACUACAAAGCGCUGCAAACCCGCGAGGGGGAGCUAAUCGCAAAAAAGUGGCCUCAGUUCAGAUUGGAGGCUGCAAUUCGCCUCCAUGAAGUCGGAAUCGCUAGUAACGGUAGAUCAGCUACGCUACCGUGAAUACGUUCCCGGGUCUUGUACACACCGCCCGU
This 501-nucleotide ribosomal RNA is filed under the name uncultured bacterium. Its description in RNAcentral is "partial 16S ribosomal RNA". It matches the Rfam family "Bacterial small subunit ribosomal RNA", at positions 899 to 1397 of the family's 1533-position model. The record is from RNAcentral.